GAACGCACAUUGCGCCCCCUGGUAUUCCGGGGGGCACACCUGUUCGAGCGCCAUUUCAACCCUCAAGCCCCGCUUGGUGAUGGGCCCCGCCCGUGGGCGGGCCCGAAACUCGUGGGCGUCGUCGUUCGGCUCCAAGCGUAGCAAAACCCUCGCUUGGGCGCCCGGACGGCGGCCGCCCGGAACGAAUUUUUACAAGGUUGGCCUCGGAUCAGGUGGGGAUACCCGCUGAACUUAAG
This 236-nucleotide unclassified non-coding RNA is filed under the name uncultured Venturiaceae. Its description in RNAcentral is "sequence contains 5.8S rRNA gene". The record is from RNAcentral. Lineage: Eukaryota; Fungi; Ascomycota; Dothideomycetes; Venturiales; Venturiaceae.